CAAAUUAUAGCCUAAGAGGUACUAUUAUUUACAUUAAUAUGUGUAGUUGUGCAAUUCAACUUAAUUUGA
RNAcentral lists this transfer RNA (69 nucleotides) under Macracanthopsis nodipes. RNAcentral describes it as "tRNA-Val". The record is from RNAcentral. Lineage: Eukaryota; Metazoa; Arthropoda; Insecta; Hemiptera; Reduviidae.